AAAUUUAGAUGCUCCAUUCACUUGGAAAUGGCUGGGGAGUAGAAGUGAGGAGAAAUAAAUACGGUAUUGAGGCAGUGUUGGUUGAAAGUGAGGGACAUGCAACUGGCAGGUCAGGUGUUUAUUUCCCUGGCUGACUACAUGUUGAUAACUGCCUUAUAUGUGUGUCUUUUAACUGCAGGUAUUUUUUUUUUUCCUCUAGUAUAUCUUCUUGGAAUUCUAGGUUAUUCUGAUCUCCAGUAGACUCUUUCUUUGUAUAGCACUUGAGUGAAUAGCUUUGAAAACAAUUCACUAUGAACAGAUGUUUUUGUCACACAAGACUGUUAUAUUUUAUUUCUCUUUUUCAGAUUUAAGUCUUUAUGACUUUCUAAAAUUAUAAUGAAGAACGUGGUUGCCAGUUGCUAAUCUAGAAAUCGGUUUAAACCCUGAAGUGCGUGUUAAAAAUCAGCUUUUGCAGAGAGGCUUGGGUUAAAGAGCCAAACCCUGUUAACAUCCAUCUUCUUUGAAGGUGUGGACACUGUAAACUGUGCUGUUACCCUACAGUCCAGUAGUCCACCCUCCUGCUGGCAUAGCAGCCCACAAGGUGAGGUGCAAAAACACCCCAGGAGCAGCCAGUGCUGGUUGCACCCUGUACUGUGGGCCCAGAGCAGGCAUGCAGGCUCUUCCUGGCUGCUGGGCAGGGUCCUCCCUCAGGCCUCCGCAUAGCCUGCAGUGCAGGAGGGCAUCUUCUUGGUGGCAGACCAGAUUUUGACUGCUGUUCUCUUCUCCCUGCUCGAAAUGUUACUGCCUUUUAUGCUUGAUUUUAAGCUGACUCCCUUCCCCCCACAGGUCUCUUGGUAACUGCCUGGUUACUGUUUAAUGUGGCUGAUGAUUGUCUUCAUUUUCAGCCUUACCAGAUUUUGAGCAGAUGCCCUCUGAGUUUUGGGUAUUCUGUUCACAAACAUUUCAUCAGCUGUUAGCAGCCAAUGUCCAGGCUUUAUUUUUCUGCCAAGAGAAGGCUAUGUUAAUUUCCCCCACAAUUUGAAGCUGUUCCUUUGGGUACAAAGUACAUUGAUAAAGUAAGAGACAAAGUCCUUCUCAGAAAUAAUGUUUAUAUUUGCAGCUUUAUGUUGGAGGAGUAAUGACAAAUACUGGGAAAUCUUACUUGUCCUCAAAGUGUUCAUUAUAGACCAGAGUUGUAUCACAGUAAAGCAGUUUUCUAAUGCUAAUCUGUGAAAUAAAGAGGCCACACUUUUCCAGCAUUAAUGAACCCAAAUUAAUGCAUUUUUCUUCCUGCAUUUUGUAGGGAUUCCUUAUGCUUUGUAGAAGUGCAACUUAAAGUUGGGAUCUGCACAUGCAUUGUGUGACUUCUCAUCAUUGACUUGUUCUUUUAAUACUGCACCCAGAGUUUGUAUGAGAACAUGAAGAAAAUGAGGAAUAAAACUACCCUUGUGAAUAAAUGUGUGUACCAUGAAGAAUUCCCUAUUUCUGAUCAAAUUCCUGUUUUCAUGGAUGGCAAAACUACAAGGACAG
This is a long non-coding RNA of Neopsephotus bourkii (Bourke's parrot), 1509 nucleotides long. RefSeq lists it as uncharacterized. Lineage: Eukaryota; Metazoa; Chordata; Aves; Psittaciformes; Psittacidae. The record is from RefSeq and is a predicted model, not a curated record. The transcript has 3 exons.